This is a long non-coding RNA of Homo sapiens (human), 1387 nucleotides long. Ensembl annotates it as leukemia-associated non-coding IGF1R activator RNA 1. Its record names the gene LUNAR1. Lineage: Eukaryota; Metazoa; Chordata; Mammalia; Primates; Hominidae. The record is from Ensembl.
AGCCCGAGGAUGGAGGCUGAGGCCGCCUGUUGAGUCACAGUUUCCCUGUGAUGCUCAUUUUAACCAGAUGGCACUUGCUUAGCAGUUUGGAGGAGAAGACCUGUUCCCCUGCAGAAAUGGGGUUUCUCCAUGUUGCCUGGUCUGGUCUUGAACUCCUGGGCUCAAACGAUCUGUCCAUCUUGGCUUCCCAAAACCUGAAGCCAGGCCAGCCUUCCAUGAUUAGACCUCAACUCAUGAGAACUCUUGCCUUGCUCACAAGUGGGAGUAAAUGCUCAUAGCUCUAGAAAUCUCCCAGGAACCAGACAUCACGGAAACUAGAAAGGCUAAGGGAGUCCAAUCUUCCUCUAAAUUGGCCAACAGUAGAGUGGUGGAAAGAGAACAAGCUGCAAACCAGACAGACCCAAGCUUGAAUCUCACCUCUGCCAAGCUACCAGAGCAAAGGAACAAGGAGUUUGGGAGAGAAAAAAAAACACAACACUAGAAACAGCACUGACACAGGUCGUUAAAUACAGAUGUGACCAGCCUUGAUUACAAGUGUUGUCAUCCUCUUUUAACAGGGACCUACCCCGAACUUUCAUGAACCCCUGGUAGCUGAAUAGCAGCUUGUCUAAGCGAGGUGCAGGGAUUUUGUCAAAGUCGGCCUCGGUGUUAAAGGCAGGGCCACCUACCAUGAACUUCUCUCUGUGACUUUAUUCUUUAGCAGUGCUCAAGUGUAAAUAAACUUGUUUACCAGGAUCAGAAUGGCCAUGUUAAUGAAGUCUUAUUUGUGUCACCACAAUGACAAGUAAUUUGUGCACAGCUGGACUCGGAGAGGGGACAAAACCAGAGAAAUUGUAUUUCUGUUCUGAAGUUUCCAUACAGAUGCCUUAGGCCAAAGUUAGUACAGCCAAUAUUUGCCUGUUUCUUUGGAUUGUGUGUCCAUGCUGGAGAAAAGCCUUGUUACUGUGCCCAGUGUGGUAAACGAAAUUAUAUGUACGCAGUGAGAAGAAAAAUGAAAUAAGAAGCACUGAUGAAUGUACCCACGGGUGUGACCUUGGGGGCCAGUGUGUGGUUUUUAUGAAAUGAACGCAUGAAUACGAGGACCCUAAUUAUUGCUUUCAACGGACAAAGUAUGGUGAAUAUAUAGAGAACGUUGCUGUACAACACUGGCUGUGUCUCAAAGCGGCUUUAGAAGUAAAUAUAGAAAUUCUUUGGUACAUGGUAUUGCAUAGAAAAGUCAUUAAGAAAAAAGCAAGACAAUUUGUUAAGACCUUGUUAAGUGGAGCUGGGGGAUGAUUAAUUUUGUUUGUUUGUUUUUGUUGUUCCCUGGUAGAGCUCAACAAACUACAGACCACGGGCCAAAUCUGACCCACCGCUGCUUUUGUAAAUAAAACUUUAUUGGAAAAAA